Molecule: ribosomal RNA, 1169 nt
Filed under: uncultured bacterium
Lineage: Bacteria
Description: bacterial SSU rRNA
Rfam family: Bacterial small subunit ribosomal RNA
Source: RNAcentral
AAGGGAGGCAAUGCGGGUGCUUACCAUGCAAGUCGUACGAGAAAGCCGAAUUUCGGUUUGGCGAGUAAAGUGGCGCACGGGUGAGUAACACGUAGGUGAUCUGCCCUUGUGUUCGGGAUAACAGAGCGAAAGUUCUGCUAAUACCGGAUACGAUCUCUCUUUCGGGGGAGAAGAAAGUCAGCCGCUCGAAGAAGCUGGCGCACGAGGAGGGGCCUGCGUCCUAUCAGCUAGUUGGUAGGGUAACGGCCUACCAAGGCGACGACGGGUAGCUGGUCUGAGAGGAUGAUCAGCCACACUGGCACUGGAACACGGGCCAGACUCCUACGGGAGGCAGCAGUGAGGAAUUUUGCGCAAUGGGAGCAAUCCUGACGCAGCAACGCCGCGUGGGUGAUGAAGGCCUUCGGGUCGUAAAGCCCUGUCAGGUGGGAAGAAUGUCCUGGGGAUGAAUAAGCUCUGGGAGUGACGGUACCACCAGAGGAAGCACCGGCUAACUCCGUGCCAGCAGCCGCGGUAAUACGGAGGGUGCGAGCGUUAUUCGGAAUUACUGGGCGUAAAGCGCGUGUAGGCGGGAAGGCAAGUCUGAUGUGAAAGCCCCGGGCUUAACCUGGGAAGUGCAUUGGAAACUGCAUUUCUUGAGUGCUGGAGAGGAAGGGGGAAUUCCCGGUGUAGAGGUGAAAUUCGUAGAGAUCGGGAGGAAUACCAGUGGCGAAGGCGCCCUUCUGGACGGCAACUGACGCUGAGACGCGAAAGCGUGGGGAGCAAACAGGAUUAGAUACCCUGGUAGUCCACGCUGUAAACGAUGAUCACUAGGUGUAGCGGGUACUCAUUCCUGCUGUGCCGCAGCUAACGCGUUAAGUGAUCCGCCUGGGGAUUACGGUCGCAAGACUAAAACUCAAAGGAAUUGACGGGGGCCCGCACAAGCGGUGGAGUAUGUGGUUUAAUUCGACGCAACGCGAAGAACCUUACCUGGGCUUGACAUCCCCGGACUGCGCUGGAAACAGGUGAGUUCCCUUUCGGGGACCGGGGAGAACAGUGCUGCAUGCUGUCGUCAGCUCGCGUCGUGAGAAUGUGGGUAAGUCCGCACGUAGCGCACCCUUGCCUAGUUGCCAUCAUGAGUUGGCACCUCUAGGGACUGCCGGUUGAAACCCGAAGAAGUGGGGAUGACGUCC